RNAcentral lists this long non-coding RNA (1980 nucleotides) under Salmo salar (Atlantic salmon). Its description in RNAcentral is "lncRNA (ENSSSAG00000090506.1)". Lineage: Eukaryota; Metazoa; Chordata; Actinopteri; Salmoniformes; Salmonidae. The record is from RNAcentral.
GAGGGACAGACUGCACUUAACCUGGCACAGUUCCCAUUUCAUGACAAGCCUAGGCUGCAGCAGUGUGUAGCUAAUGUCAGGCGGAUGAUUUGGAAACCAACCCAACACUCUCGUCUCUGUGUACAUCACUUUGAAGAGGACUCUCUUCGAUAUGAUGACAAGGGAAAAGUCUGCCUCACCCCGACUAUUGUGCCCACCGUUUUCCCCUUUCCUGAUCGUCUUCAAAAGCGGUCACAAUGCCCCAGGGAAAGACGAAGGAAUUUGGUAGAUACAGAGUUUGGAAGCAACGCUGCCAUCGCUUCUGAUUCCUUGCCUCUACAAGAGAGCAUCCUGGCUGAUUAUAGUGGAUCUGCAGGCCGCAGACGACACUAGGCGAUAUUCCCACACCUCAGCUGAGCAGAGGAUCCAAUACCGACAAACCAUGCAGCAGAUCCUCAAUGGAGCAGCAGGAGCCUCAUGUUGACGGGAGUGCCCAUCUGCACUCGGCUGGCCAGGUGCCUAAACUUUAACAGGGAAAGACAUCACACAGGGAGAAAGAGAUGGCAGGAGCAGUGGUGCCAUGUAUGUCCCGGGUUUCUCUGGUAUAGGCCGCGUUACUGUAAAAGUACUUUGUGACACCUGCUGAUGUUUUUAUUUUACCUUUAUUUAACCAGGUAGGCUAGUUGAGAACAGGUUCUCAUUUGCAACUGCGGCCUGGCCAAGAUAAAGCAUAGCAGUUCGACACAUACAACAACACAGAGUUACAAAUGGAAUAAACAAAACAGUAGAAAUAAAUAAUACAGUAGAAAAAAUAAAACAAAAAAUCUGUAUUCAGUGAGUGCAAAUGAGGUAAGAUAAGGGAGUUAAGGCAAUAAAUAGGCCAUGGUGGCCAAAUAAUUACAAUAUAGCAAUUAAACACUAGAAUGGUAGAUGUGCAGAAGAUGAAUGUGCAAGUAGAGAUAUUGGGGUGCAAAGGAGCAAGAUAAAUAAAUAAAUACAGUAUGGGGAUGAGAUAGUUGGAUGGGCUGUUUACAGAUGGGCUAUGUACAGGUGCAGUGAUCUGUGAGCUGCUCUGACAGCUGGUGCUUAAAGCUAGUGAGGGAGAUAUGAGUCUCCAGCUUCAGUGAUUUUUGCAGUUCACUCCAGUCAUUGGCAGCAGAGAACUGGAAGGAAAGGCGGCCAAAGGAGGAAUUGGCUUUGGGGGUGACCAGUGAGAUAUACCUGCUGGCGUGCGUGCUACGAGUGGGUGCUGCUAUGGUGUGGGUGGGUGCUGCUAUGUAAAAAAAAAGGCCAUGUAUAAUUUUGCUUGAUUGAUUGAUUGACUGUAUAAGUAAAAGUGAUGUCCUCUUAUCCGUCAGGUAGGAAGUAUCACUUUCUAUUAUCUAUGCAUAGUCACUUCACCCCACGUCCAUGUACAAAUUACCUUGACUAAUCUGUACCCCAGCACAUUGACUAGGUAAUGGUACCCCCUGUAUAUAGCCUCGUUAUUGUUAUUUUAUUGUGUUACUUUUUAGAAUUUUUAACUUUAGUUUAUUUGGUAAAUAUUUUCUUAACUCUGUCUUGAACUGCACUGUUGGUUAAGGGCUUGUAAGUAAGCAUUUCACGAUAAGGUGACAAAUAAAGUUUGACUUGAUUUGAUCAGUGCCAACACUGCCAAGUGGCUGGGAUGUCCUCCACUGAGUCCACCGUCCUCUCCACCCCAAACACCUCCAGCACCUCCAUUCCCGCCAUCUGCUGUCUGCCAUCUGCCAUCUGCACCCCAACUCCCUCUGACCACAGAUUGACCACACAUUAACCACACAACAUGGUCAAUGUACAUACGGUCAAAUCAAACAUAACCUCGUCCCAGGCUUAUAAGCCUGGGAUAUCAACCACUCCAAGUUCGCCUUAUUAGGAGUGACCAUAGAGUUCUAUGAGACCUACUGAGUAAAGUAUUUGCCAUCAUUCAAUGUUGGUGAAUCUCAAUUCUGUGAGGCGUGCCUCUGUGCUUAUGGUGUGCUA